CUUGCGAUAGCUCAGUUGGUAGAGCGGAGGACUGUAGUUCUUUAGGUCGUUGGUUCAAGCCCAACUCGCAAGA
RNAcentral lists this transfer RNA (73 nucleotides) under Paramuricea clavata. It matches the Rfam family "tRNA". Rfam says of the family: Transfer RNA (tRNA) molecules are approximately 80 nucleotides in length. Their secondary structure includes four short double-helical elements and three loops (D, anti-codon, and T loops). The record is from Rfam by way of RNAcentral. Lineage: Eukaryota; Metazoa; Cnidaria; Anthozoa; Malacalcyonacea; Plexauridae.